This is a long non-coding RNA of Ictalurus punctatus (channel catfish), 537 nucleotides long. The record is from Ensembl. NCBI's taxonomy places the organism in Eukaryota, Metazoa, Chordata, Actinopteri, Siluriformes, Ictaluridae.
UCUGUCCCAGGUGAUAUAUCGUCAGGUGGAAUACAGUAUGAAGCGCAAGAAACGUAUUUAUGUUCAGACUGAGUAUGGCCUGAAGCCCGUUGACGUCGAAGAAACGCUUUCAUACCAUGUGGAAGGAGACGUGGACUUCUUGUGAAGAAACAAAGCGGGGAAGCAGAAAGAAUAAAUCUAAAUCAAACUCAGUUUCUGCUCAGGCUGUUUUUUGUUUGUCAUCAAGUCAUCGACGAAUGCAGUUCUUAUAUUCGGCUAAACAUGAAAAAGGUUUUCUUCGUAAGACGUGCUUAUAAUUGAGGUCUUGGUUGUAAAGGUAGCUUCCUCUUAGCUGGGAUUAUUCCUUUUCUUGCAAACAUUUCUCCUUGUAGUGAGUACAUAAAAGAUUUACUUAAAAUUGCAUCCCGCAUGGGCUUAUUGAGCAAGAACCUGAGAACCAGACUGUAGCAGACUGUAGAAUGCAUUAAGUGCACAAAAUAAUUUCAUUCUAGCUGUGUAACAUCUGAAACAUUGAAGUUGCACAGUCAUGCAACAAAA